UCUAUAAUGGCAGAUAAGUGCAUUGAACUUAAGAUUCAAAUAAGGAGUUAUCCUUGUAGAU
RNAcentral lists this transfer RNA (61 nucleotides) under Fulicoffula longipila. RNAcentral describes it as "tRNA-Leu". The record is from RNAcentral. Lineage: Eukaryota; Metazoa; Arthropoda; Insecta; Psocodea; Philopteridae.